GGCCCAGAUCGUUUACCGUGAAAAAAUUAGAGUGUUCAAAGCAGGCAGAUCCAAUUCCCACCGAAUACAAGCAUGGGUAAGGAAUAGGACCCUGUCCUCUAUUUUCAGUGUUGCAGGGAGGAUAGGGUAAUGAUUAAUAGGGAUAGUGGGGGCAUUAAUAUUUAAUUGUCGAGGUGAAAUUCUUGAUAUGAAAGAAUAAUUUUGGAAAGCAUUGCCAAAUGUUUUCAUUAAUCAGAAGAAAGUAGGGAUGAAGAGAUCGAUACCGUCGUAGUUUACCAUAAACGAUGCCGACCAGCGAUUAGGGACUGAAUACAAAACACCACCAUCGGGCGGUCGUCCUGGGUCUGGUCCUUCACGGGGCCGCGCGCGGGGGGCUAGCCCGUGACCCCA
Molecule: ribosomal RNA, 390 nt
Filed under: Acanthamoeba sp.
Lineage: Eukaryota; Discosea; Longamoebia; Acanthamoebidae
Description: SSU rRNA
Rfam family: Eukaryotic small subunit ribosomal RNA
Source: RNAcentral